RNAcentral lists this ribosomal RNA (253 nucleotides) under uncultured bacterium. Its description in RNAcentral is "partial 16S ribosomal RNA". It matches the Rfam family "Bacterial small subunit ribosomal RNA", at positions 524 to 776 of the family's 1533-position model. The record is from RNAcentral.
UACGUAGGUGGCGAACGUUAUCCGGAAUAACUGGGCGUAAAGGGUCCGCAGGCGGCCUUGAAGGUCUGGCGUGAAAGCCCUCGGCUAAACUGAGGGAGUGCGUUGGAAACCGCGAGGCUAGCAUCAUGCAGGGGCUGGUGGAAUUCCCGGUGUAGUGGUGGAAUGCGUAGAGAUCGGGAGGAACCUCUAGAGCGAAGGCAACCGGCUAGGCAAUGAUGGACGCUGAGGGACGAAAGCGUGGGGAGCGAACAGG